Molecule: ribosomal RNA, 579 nt
Filed under: Harringtonia lauricola
Lineage: Eukaryota; Fungi; Ascomycota; Sordariomycetes; Ophiostomatales; Ophiostomataceae
Description: Raffaelea lauricola partial large subunit ribosomal RNA
Rfam family: Eukaryotic large subunit ribosomal RNA
Source: RNAcentral
AAAAGAAACCAACAGGGAUUGCCCCAGUAACGGCGAGUGAAGCGGCAACAGCUCAAAUUUGAAAUCUGGCCCCCCGCGGGCCCGAGUUGUACUUUGGAGAGGACGCUUCUGGCGCGGCGCCGUCCGAGUUCCCUGGAACGGGACGCCGGAGAGGGUGAGAGCCCCGUACGGGCGGCCGCCUAGCCUCUGCGAAGCUCCUUCGACGAGUCGAGUAGUUUGGGAAUGCUGCUCAAAAUGGGAGGUAAAUUUCUUCUAAAGCUAAAUACCGGCCAGAGACCGAUAGCGCACAAGUAGAGUGAUCGAAAGAUGAAAAGCACUUUGAAAAGAGGGUCAAACAGUACGUGAAAUUGUUGAAAGGGAAGCGCCUGUGGCCAGACUUGCGCCCCGCGGACCACCCGGCGCCUCGCGCGCCGGGGCACGCCAGCGGGGCGCAGGCCAGCAUCGGCUCUCUCGGGGGGACAAAGGCCGCGGGAACGUAGCGCCCUCGCGGCGUAUUAUAGCCCGCGGCGCCAUGCCCCCGGGGGGGCCGAGGACCGCGCUCCGGCAAGGAUGCUGGCGUAAUGGCCACCGGCGACCCGU